Molecule: ribosomal RNA, 253 nt
Filed under: uncultured bacterium
Lineage: Bacteria
Description: partial 16S ribosomal RNA
Rfam family: Bacterial small subunit ribosomal RNA
Source: RNAcentral
UACAGAGGGUGCGAGCGUUAAUCGGAAUUACUGGGCGUAAAGCGUGCGUAGACGGUUAUUUAAGUCGGGUGUGAAAGCCCCGGGCUCAACCUGGGAAUUGCAUUCGAGACUGAAUAGCUAGGGUACGGUAGAGGGAAGCGGAAUUUCCGGUGUAGCGGUGAAAUGCGUAGAUAUCAGGAGGAACACCGAUGGCGAAGGCAGUUCUCUGGGCCGUAACUGACGCUGAGGAGCGAAAGCGUGGGGAGCGAACAGG